This 423-nucleotide ribosomal RNA is filed under the name uncultured bacterium. Its description in RNAcentral is "bacterial SSU rRNA". It matches the Rfam family "Bacterial small subunit ribosomal RNA", at positions 355 to 776 of the family's 1533-position model. The record is from RNAcentral.
UGAGGAAUAUUGGUCAAUGGCCGAGAGGCUGAACCAGCCAAGUCGCGUGAGGGAAGACGGCCCUACGGGUUGUAAACCUCUUUUGUCGGGGAGCAAAGCGAACCACGUGUGGUUCAUUGAGAGUACCCGAAGAAAAAGCAUCGGCUAACUCCGUGCCAGCAGCCGCGGUAAUACGGAGGAUGCGAGCGUUAUCCGGAUUUAUUGGGUUUAAAGGGUGCGCAGGCGGAGGUGCAAGUCAGCGGUCAAAUUGCGGGGCUCAACCCCGUACUGCCGUUGAAACUGCAUCCCUUGAGUGCGCGAGAAGUAUGCGGAAUGCGUGGUGUAGCGGUGAAAUGCAUAGAUAUCACGCAGAACUCCGAUUGCGAAGGCAGCAUACCGGCGCGCAACUGACGCUCAUGCACGAAAGCGUGGGUAUCGAACAGG